CUGUACAGUUCAGAGUUUGAUCCUGGCUCAGGAUGAACGCUAGCGACAGGCUUAACACAUGCAAGUCGAGGGGUAACAGGGUAGCAAUACCGCUGACGACCGGCGCACGGGUGAGUAACGCGUAUGCAACCUGCCUAUAACUGGGGAAUAGCUCCCUGAAAGGGGAAUUAACACCGCAUAACACUAUUGAUUCGCAUGGAUUAGUAGUUAAAUGUAGCGAUACAGGUUAUAGAUGGGCAUGCGUGACAUUAGCUAGUUGGUGAGGUAACGGCUCACCAAGGCUACGAUGUCUAGGGGUUCUGAGAGGAAGGUCCCCCACACUGGUACUGAGACACGGACCAG
This 342-nucleotide ribosomal RNA is filed under the name uncultured bacterium. RNAcentral describes it as "bacterial SSU rRNA". It matches the Rfam family "Bacterial small subunit ribosomal RNA", at positions 1 to 334 of the family's 1533-position model. The record is from RNAcentral.